GGGUUGUGAGGUUAAGCGACUAAGCGUACACGGUGGAUGCCCUGGCAGUCAGAGGCGAUGAAGGGCGUGCUAAUCUGCGAUAAGCGCCGGUAAGGUGAUAUGAACCGUUAUAACCGGCGAUACCCGAAUGGGGAAACCCAGUGUGACUCGUCACACUAUCAUUAACUGAAUCCAUAGGUUAAUGAGGCGAACCGGGGGAACUGAAACAUCUAAGUACCCCGAGGAAAAGAAAUCAACCGAGAUUCCCCCAGUAGCGGCGAGCGAACGGGGAGGAGCCCAGAGCCUGAAUCAGCAUGUGUGUUAGUGGAAGCGUCUGGAAAGGCGCGCGAUACAGGGUGACAGCCCCGUACACAAAAGCGCAUGUGCUGUGAGCUCGAUGAGUAGGGCGGGACACGUGGUAUCCUGUCUGAAUAUGGGGGGACCAUCCUCCAAGGCUAAAUACUCCUGACUGACCGAUAGUGAACCAGUACCGUGAGGGAAAGGCGAAAAGAACCCCGGCGAGGGGAGUGAAAAAGAACCUGAAACCGUGUACGUACAAGCAGUGGGAGCCCCACCACCAAAGCAUUCUCUGGUGUUGAAGGCCCUGCAAAGCAGCAUCGCGGUGGCGGAGCGUCGUUUGCGACGCCCAACACACAAAACAAGCGGUGAAUGCUUUGGGGUGGGGUGACUGCGUACCUUUUGUAUAAUGGGUCAGCGACUUAUAUUCUGUAGCAAGGUUAACCGAAUAGGGGAGCCGGAGGGAAACCGAGUCUUAAUUGGGCGUUAAGUUGCAGGGUAUAGACCCGAAACCCGGUGAUCUAGCCAUGGGCAGGUUGAAGGUUGGGUAACACUAACUGGAGGACCGAACCGACUAAUGUUGAAAAAUUAGCGGAUGACCUGUGGCUGGGGGUGAAAGGCCAAUCAAACCGGGAGAUAGCUGGUUCUCCCCGAAAGCUAUUUAGGUAGCGCCUCGUGAAUUCAUCUCCGGGGGUAGAGCACUGUUUCGGCUAGGGGGCCAUCCCGGCUUACCAACCCGAUGCAAACUGCGAAUACCGGAGAAUGUUAUCACGGGAGACACACGGCGGGUGCUAACGUCCGUCGUGAAGAGGGAAACAACCCAGACCGCCAGCUAAGGUCCCAAAGUCAUGGUUAAGUGGGAAACGAUGUGGGAAGGCCCAGACAGCCAGGAUGUUGGCUUAGAAGCAGCCAUCAUUUAAAGAAAGCGUAAUAGCUCACUGGUCGAGUCGGCCUGCGCGGAAGAUGUAACGGGGCUAAACCAUGCACCGAAGCUGCGGCAGCGAACGUAUCACCCAAGACAACUUUACGGAGUUGACGAUUGACGGAGCGAAGCGACGUCAAAGCGUUCAUUAAAGUCGAGUUGGCUUAGGGAUACGUUCGUUGGGUAGGGGAGCGUUCUGUAAGCCUGUGAAGGUGUGUCGUGAGGCAUGCUGGAGGUAUCAGAAGUGCGAAUGCUGACAUAAGUAACGAUAAAGCGGGUGAAAAGCCCGCUCGCCGGAAGACCAAGGGUUCCUGUCCAACGUUAAUCGGGGCAGGGUGAGUCGACCCCUAAGGCGAGGCCGAAAGGCGUAGUCGAUGGGAAACGGGUUAAUAUUCCCGUACUUGGUGUUACUGCGAAGGGGGGACGGAGAAGGCUAUGUUGGCCGGGCGACGGUUGUCCCGGUUUAAGCGUGUAGGUGUGUGUUCCAGGUAAAUCCGGUUCACUUUAACACUGAGGCGUGACGACGAGGCACUACGGUGCUGAAGCAACAAAUGCCCUGCUUCCAGGAAAAGCCUCUAAGCAUCAGGUAACACGAAAUCGUACCCCAAACCGACACAGGUGGUCAGGUAGAGAAUACCAAGGCGCUUGAGAGAACUCGGGUGAAGGAACUAGGCAAAAUGGUGCCGUAACUUCGGGAGAAGGCACGCUGACACGUAGGUGAAGUGAUUUACUCAUGGAGCUGAAGUCAGUCGAAGAUACCAGCUGGCUGCAACUGUUUAUUAAAAACACAGCACUGUGCAAACACGAAAGUGGACGUAUACGGUGUGACGCCUGCCCGGUGCCGGAAGGUUAAUUGAUGGGGUCAGCGUAAGCGAAGCUCCUGAUCGAAGCCCCGGUAAACGGCGGCCGUAACUAUAACGGUCCUAAGGUAGCGAAAUUCCUUGUCGGGUAAGUUCCGACCUGCACGAAUGGCGUAAUGAUGGCCAGGCUGUCUCCACCCGAGACUCAGUGAAAUUGAACUCGCUGUGAAGAUGCAGUGUACCCGCGGCAAGACGGAAAGACCCCGUGAACCUUUACUAUAGCUUGACACUGAACAUUGAGCCUUGAUGUGUAGGAUAGGUGGGAGGCUUUGAAGUGUGGACGCCAGUCUGCAUGGAGCCGACCUUGAAAUACCACCCUUUAAUGUUUGAUGUUCUAACGUGGACCCGUAAUCCGGGUUGCGGACAGUGUCUGGUGGGUAGUUUGACUGGGGCGGUCUCCUCCUAAAGAGUAACGGAGGAGCACGAAGGUUGGCUAAUCCUGGUCGGACAUCAGGAGGUUAGUGCAAUGGCAUAAGCCAGCUUGACUGCGAGCGUGACGGCGCGAGCAGGUGCGAAAGCAGGUCAUAGUGAUCCGGUGGUUCUGAAUGGAAGGGCCAUCGCUCAACGGAUAAAAGGUACUCCGGGGAUAACAGGCUGAUACCGCCCAAGAGUUCAUAUCGACGGCGGUGUUUGGCACCUCGAUGUCGGCUCAUCACAUCCUGGGGCUGAAGUAGGUCCCAAGGGUAUGGCUGUUCGCCAUUUAAAGUGGUACGCGAGCUGGGUUUAGAACGUCGUGAGACAGUUCGGUCCCUAUCUGCCGUGGGCGCUGGAGAACUGAGGGGGGCUGCUCCUAGUACGAGAGGACCGGAGUGGACGCAUCACUGGUGUUCGGGUUGUCAUGCCAAUGGCACUGCCCGGUAGCUAAAUGCGGAAGAGAUAAGUGCUGAAAGCAUCUAAGCACGAAACUUGCCCCGAGAUGAGUUCUCCCUGAGACUUUAGGUCUCCUGAAGGAACGUUGAAGACGACGACGUUGAUAGGCCGGGUGUGUAAGCGCAGCGAUGCGUUGAGCUAACCGGUACUAAUGAACCGUGAGGCUUAACCUUACAACGCCGAAG
This 3113-nucleotide ribosomal RNA is filed under the name Salmonella enterica subsp. enterica serovar Typhimurium. RNAcentral describes it as "23S ribosomal RNA". It matches the Rfam family "Bacterial large subunit ribosomal RNA". The record is from RNAcentral. Lineage: Bacteria; Pseudomonadati; Pseudomonadota; Gammaproteobacteria; Enterobacterales; Enterobacteriaceae.